GACGAACGCUGGCGGCGUGCUUAACACAUGCAAGUCGAACGGUGAAGCGCUUGCCUUUUUGGUGGGUGUGGAUGAGUGGCGAACGGGUGAGUAACACGUGAGUAACCUGCCCUCUUCUUCUGGAUAACCUCAUGAAAGUGUGGCUAAUACGGGGUAUUCCGGGUCUGUCGCAUGGCGGGUUUGGGAAAGAUUGCGCCUUUGGGUGUUUUCGGUGGGGGAUGGGCUCGCGGCCUAUCAGCUUGUUGGUGGGGUGAUGGCCUACCAAGGCGGUGACGGGUAGCCGGCCUGAGAGGGUGGACGGCCACACUGGGACUGAGACACGGCCCAGACUCCUGCGGGAGGCAGCAGUGGGGAAUAUUGCACAAUGGGCGCAAGCCUGAUGCAGCGACGCCGCGUGAGGGAUGGAGGCCUUCGGGUUGUGAACCUCUUUCGCCAGUGAAGCAGGCCUGCUCCUGUGUGGGUGGGUUGACGGUAGCUGGAUAAGAAGCGCCGGCUAACUACGUG
This 504-nucleotide ribosomal RNA is filed under the name uncultured bacterium. RNAcentral's name for it is "partial 16S ribosomal RNA". It matches the Rfam family "Bacterial small subunit ribosomal RNA", at positions 28 to 507 of the family's 1533-position model. The record is from RNAcentral.